UACGUAGGGGGCUAGCGUUGUCCGGAAUCAUUGGGCGUAAAGCGCGUGUAGGCGGUCUGGUAAGUCCGCUGUGAAAGUCGGGGGCUCAACCCUCGGAUGCCGGUGGAUACUGUCGGGCUUGAGUACGGAAGAGGCGAGUGGAAUUCCUGGUGUAGCGGUGAAAUGCGCAGAUAUCAGGAGGAACACCAAUUGCGAAGGCAGCUCGCUGGGACGUUACUGACGCUGAGACGCGAAAGCGUGGGGAGCGAACAGG
RNAcentral lists this ribosomal RNA (253 nucleotides) under uncultured bacterium. RNAcentral describes it as "partial 16S ribosomal RNA". It matches the Rfam family "Bacterial small subunit ribosomal RNA", at positions 524 to 776 of the family's 1533-position model. The record is from RNAcentral.